This 292-nucleotide ribosomal RNA is filed under the name uncultured bacterium. RNAcentral's name for it is "partial 16S ribosomal RNA". It matches the Rfam family "Bacterial small subunit ribosomal RNA", at positions 29 to 333 of the family's 1533-position model. The record is from RNAcentral.
AACGAACGCUGGCGGCAGGCUUAACACAUGCAAGUCGAACGGAUGGGUGUAGCAAUACAUUUCAUCAGUGGCAGACGGGUGAGUAACACGUGGGAACCUUCCUCGUUGUACGGGACAACUCAGGGAAACUUGAGCUAAUACCGUAUAAGUCCGAGAGGAGAAAGAUUUAUCGCAAUGAGACGGGCCCGCGUCGGAUUAGCUAGUUGGUGGGUAACGGGCCGUACCAACGGACGACGAUCCGUAGCUGAUCUGAGAGGAUGAUCAGCCACACUGGGACGUGAGACACGGCCCA